AACGAACGCUGGCGGCAGGCUUAACACAUGCAAGUCGAACGAUAUAGCGGCAGACGGGUGAGUAAUGCGUGGGAAUGUGCCUUUUGGUUCGGAAUAGCCCCGGGAAACUGGGAGUAAUACCGGAUAAGCCCUUCGGGGGAAAGAUUUAUCGCCAAAAGAUCAGCCCGCGUUAGAUUAGCUAGUUGGUGAGGUAACGGCUCACCAAGGCGACGAUCUAUAGCUGGUCUGAGAGGACGACCAGCCACACUGGAACUGAGACACGGUCCAGACUCCUACGGGAGGCAGCAGUGGGGAAUCUUGGACAAUGGGCGAAAGCCUGAUCCAGCCAUGCCGCGUGAAUGAUGAAGGCCUUAGGGUUGUAAAAUUCUUUCAGCAGGGAAGAUAAUGACGGUACCUGCAAAAGAAGCCCCGGCUAACUCCGUGCCAGCAGCCGCGGUAAUACGGAGGGGGCUAGCGUUGUUCGGAAUUACUGGGCGUAAAGCGCUCGUAGGCGGAUAGGUAAGUCAGAUGUGAAAUCCCAGGGCUCAACCCUGGAACUGCAUUUGAAACUGCCAAUCUAGAGUUCAGGAGAGGUAAGCGGAAUUCCGAGUGUAGAGGGAAAAUUCGUAGAUAUUCGGUGGAACACCAGUGGCGAAGGCGGCUAACUGGACUGAUACUGACGCUGAGGUGCGAAAGUGUGGGGAGCAAACAGGAUUAGAUACCCUGGUAGUCCACACCGUAAACGAUGAGUGCUAGUUGUCUGCAGGCAUGCCUGUAGGUGACGCAGCUAACGCAUUAAGCACUCCGCCUGGGGAGUACGGCCGCAAGGUUAAAACUCAAAGAAAUUGACGGGGGCCCGCACAAGCGGUGGAGCAUGUGGUUUAAUUCGAAGCAACGCGCAGAACCUUACCUACGCUUGACAUGCCCGGACGAUUUCCACCAGAGAUGGAUCUCUCCCUUCGGGGCCGGUGCACAGGUGCUGCAUGGCUGUCGUCAGCUCGUGUCGUGAGAUGUUGGGUUAAGUCCCGCAACGAGCGCAACCCUCAUCCUUAGUUGCCAUCAGGUUUGGCUGGGCACUCUAAGGAAACUGCCGGUGACAAGCCGGAGGAAGGCGGGGAUGACGUCAAGUCCUCAUGGCCCUUAUGGGCUGGGCUACACACGUGCUACAAUGGCGGUGACAGGGGGAGAAUCCCGAAACGCCGUCUCAGUUCGGAUUGCACUCUGCAACUCGAGCGCAUGAAGUCGGAAUCGCUAGUAAUCGUGGAUCAGCAUGCCACGGUGAAUACGUUCCCGGGCCUUGUACACACCGCCCGUCACACCAUGGGAGUUGGCUUUACCCGAAGCCGGUGCGCUAACCGCAAGGGCAGCGAGCCACGGUAGGAUCAGCGACUGGGAUG
Molecule: ribosomal RNA, 1376 nt
Filed under: uncultured prokaryote
Description: partial 16S ribosomal RNA
Rfam family: Bacterial small subunit ribosomal RNA
Source: RNAcentral